This is a long non-coding RNA of Nylanderia fulva, 352 nucleotides long. RefSeq lists it as uncharacterized. The record is from RefSeq and is a predicted model, not a curated record. NCBI's taxonomy places the organism in Eukaryota, Metazoa, Arthropoda, Insecta, Hymenoptera, Formicidae.
UUCAUAAAUAAUAUAUUUUAGAAUGGACUCCAGAAGUGGUUCGAUGUACAUUUUACAAGCAUGGAAUAAUUGACGAUAAGGCUGUAAUUAUAAAAAAUGAACUUUUCACAAAUUACGGAUAUAUAAUUUCCGAUGAGAGCAAAUUAAAUCAAGCAAAAGAGAUCUUUACUAAGUGUGACGAACAAGCAAAACAACGGCCAGGAACUAACGAGGAGAAGCUUAUGAUAAUUAUAACAUGUGCAAUGCCAAUAAAAGAUCUACUCGACAAACCCCCCCAAUGAAAGAAAGAAGAUCAUUUUUUCUUUCACAUAAUAUUCAUAAGUAUUCAUAUAAAAUAAUAAAGAUGAAGAGA